ACAUACGACCAUAGGCAGUAGAAAAUUCGGGAUCCCGUCCGCUCUCCCUUAGACAAGCUACUGACCGCCGAACUAGUACUCAGGUCGGUGACGACGUGGGAAGUCCUCGGUGUUGUAUGUA
Molecule: ribosomal RNA, 121 nt
Filed under: Madurella mycetomatis
Lineage: Eukaryota; Fungi; Ascomycota; Sordariomycetes; Sordariales
Source: RNAcentral